RNAcentral lists this ribosomal RNA (450 nucleotides) under uncultured bacterium. RNAcentral describes it as "partial 16S ribosomal RNA". It matches the Rfam family "Bacterial small subunit ribosomal RNA", at positions 354 to 796 of the family's 1533-position model. The record is from RNAcentral.
GUGGGGAAUAUUGGACAAUGGGCGAAAGCCUGAUCCAGCCAUGCCGCGUGUGUGAAGAAGGUCUUCGGAUUGUAAAGCACUUUAAGUUGGGAGGAAGGGUAGUAACCUAAUACGUUGCUACUUUGACGUUACCGACAGAAUAAGCACCGGCUAACUUCGUGCCAGCAGCCGCGGUAAUACGAAGGGUGCAAGCGUUAAUCGGAAUUACUGGGCGUAAAGCGCGCGUAGGUGGUUCAGUAAGUUGGAAGUGAAAUCCCCGGGCUCAACCUGGGAACUGCUUUCAAAACUGCUGAGCUAGAGUACGGUAGAGGGUGGUGGAAUUUCCUGUGUAGCGGUGAAAUGCGUAGAUAUAGGAAGGAACACCAGUGGCGAAGGCGACCACCUGGACUGAUACUGACACUGAGGUGCGAAAGCGUGGGGAUCGAACAGGAUUAGAUACCCGGGUAGUCC